Molecule: ribosomal RNA, 253 nt
Filed under: uncultured bacterium
Lineage: Bacteria
Description: partial 16S ribosomal RNA
Rfam family: Bacterial small subunit ribosomal RNA
Source: RNAcentral
UACGUAGGGGGCGAGCGUUGUCCGAAGUUACUGGGCGUAAAGCGCACGUAGGCGGCUAUUCAAGUCGGGGGUGAAAGCCCGGGGCUCAACCCCGGAACUGCCCUCGAAACUAGAUAGCUAGAAUCUUGGAGAGGUCAGUGGAAUUCCGAGUGUAGAGGUGAAAUUCGUAGAUAUUCGGAAGAACACCAGUGGCGAAGGCGACUGACUGGACAAGUAUUGACGCUGAGGUGCGAAAGCGUGGGGAGCAAACAGG